Molecule: ribosomal RNA, 1235 nt
Filed under: metagenome
Description: bacterial LSU rRNA
Rfam family: Bacterial large subunit ribosomal RNA
Source: RNAcentral
UGAAUACGAGACGCUAAGGCGUCGAAGUAGUGUAUGUCAUACUUCCAAGAAAAGCUUGCACUGUCAUAGAUAAAAAACGCCUGUACCAUAACCGACACAGGUGGGUAGGUAGAGUAUACUAAGGGGCGCGAGAUAACUCUCUCUAAGGAACUCGGCAAAAUAACUCCGUAACUUCGGGAGAAGGAGUGCCUUAUUCGUAAGGUUGCAAUAACAAGAUCCAAGCAACUGUUUAUCAAAAACACAGGUCUCCGCUAAGUCGUAAGACGAUGUAUGGGGGCUGACGCCUGCCCAGUGCCAGAAGGUUAAAGAAGUAGGUUAGCAAUUGCGAAGCUGAUAACUGAAGCCCUGGUGAACGGCGGCCGUAACAAUAACGGUCCUAAGGUAGCGAAAUUCCUUGUCGGGUAAGUUCCGACCCGCACGAAAGGCGUAAUGAUUUGGAUACUGUCUCGGAGAGGGGCUCGGUGAAAUAGACUUGUCUGUGAAGAUGCGGACUACCUGCACCAGGACAGAAAGACCCUAUGAAGCUUUACUGUAACUUGAAAUUGAAAUUGGACUUUAUUCGCGCAGUAUAGGUGGGAGGCGUUGAUUAUAAUCUUGUGGGAUUAUUGGAGCCAUCAGUGAGAUACCACUCUUGUAAUGUUAGAUUUCUAACUUUGAAUCAUUAUCUGGUCAAAGAACAGUUUCAGGCGGGCAGUUUGACUGGGGCGGUCGCCUCCUAAACGGUAACGGAGGCGUACAAAGGUUUCCUCUGAACGGUUAGAAAUCGUAUCUAGAGUGUAAAGGCAUAAGGAAGCUUGACUGUGAGACCUACAAGUCGAGCAGGGACGAAAGUCGGUCUUAGUGAUCUGACGGUACUGAGUGGAAAGGCCGUCACUCAACGGAUAAAAGUUACUCUAAGGAUAACAGGCUGAUCUCCCCCAAGAGUUCACAUCGACGGGGAGGUUUGGCACCUCGAUGUCGGCUCAUCGCAUCCUGGGGCGGUAGUACGUCCCAAGGGUUGGGCUGUUCGCCCAUGAAAGCGGUACGCGAGCUGGGUUCAGAACGUCGUGAGACAGUUCGGUCCAUAUCCGGUGUAGGCGUUAGAAUAUUGAGAGGAGCCUUCUUUAGUACGAGAGGACCGAGAAGGACAUACCUCUGGUGUACCAGUUAUCGUGCCAACGGUAAACGCUGGGUAGCUAUGUAUGGAGUGGAUAACCGCUGAAAGCAUCUAAGUGGGAAGCCCACCUCAAGAUAAG